Bos taurus (domestic cattle) is the source of this 1453-nucleotide long non-coding RNA. The record is from Ensembl. NCBI's taxonomy places the organism in Eukaryota, Metazoa, Chordata, Mammalia, Artiodactyla, Bovidae.
GCCCAGACCUGCUGCUUUGGGUCUGAGUUUUCCAUGAACAGAAAAGGGAAAUAGGUCACCCGAGAUUAUCAGACCGUUUGAAGAGAAUACAGUUUGGAAAGUUGUUGAUAGGCUAUCAUGGACUUCCCCUGGACAGAACUCAGCUACGUAAAUAGCACAAGAACACUCAGUUGUGGGAGUCUGAGGGCUGGCAAAACCCCAUGGCAUGCUUGAAUUACAGACCUCAUGUAGAGAAUGUUUCUUUAGGCAGCGUUUGAUGGUUCCCUGACCCCCCGCAUCUCUGCUGUUAUUUAAUGCAGUGAGAGUGAGCAUUGAACACCAUGGCGAGAACAGUGCAAUACUGCCGACGCCCAGGUGUGUCCUUAUUGAUAUGAGGGAUGUCACCAUCUCAGGGGAGUCACCGAGUGGACACGACUCUUUACCUCCAUGCCAAGCCUCCUCUUCUCAACCCCGCAGUUUCCUGUCCUUUCCCCAUCAUCUUGGUGAUGGAACUGCCUCAACCAGACAGGGCAGUGUCAAUGGAUGAGCCCUGGAAACUCAUAACCCUGUCUUGCAAGUCUCCUCACACUGGAACAUGCCGCCUAGCAGAACACUUUACAACACAUUAAAUAUCCAGGAGUCACAAAACUGUGUGGAUGACACAUCUGAACACUGAAGAAACUAUUUUGGAACAGCACAGGUACCUAUCAUUACUACACCUUAAAAACACUUGGAACAGGAGGUUUCUAAUUGGCCUCCUGGCAGGGACGUCAGACCCAACCGUGGCCUCCUCACAGCAACUGGAUUCACAGCUCAUCUUGAGCACCUAGGAGUGGCCUCAGCCCACCUCUGCUGUCUCCUUUGGGUCACCCUGUCCUCACCGAGCUCUGGUCUCUGACAUCACAUCCACAGCCUGUGAAUCUGUCGUCUUCUCUCAGUGCUGUGAUGAACCCCAAACCUAAACCUCAGCUCUGUGCUUGGUGUAUUUCUCAGCGAUGUGGCCAUCGACCAAAGCACACAGGAAGCCAAUCUGUAGACCUCUUUGGUUCUGAGGAGCUGCAGAAGGCGUUCCUUCUGGGCUAAACAUGUGUUCUGUAAGAAGCUGAAACAGGGUAUUUAUGGCAGGUGCUCCUGUGUUAAGGGCCUCCACAAUAGCAGCAAAGCAACAGCAUCCUAGAUGUGGUCAUUAGGGGCACCUGCCCUUGCUGAGGCCUCCCUGUGGCUCUUCAGCCCAAUCCAUUAGGGGCUUCUGACCUGGGCAGCAGUAACACUCACAUAUGCUCCCUGGCUCUGAUUCAGCCAAUGUUCUGGGAUUUCAGUCUCAAAGAGGCAUCAGCCUUCAGUCACGCUGCAAUCUAAUUGGGAGCCUUUGGGGGUUUCUCUGAGGAGGAAGUUACUAACACAUAAUUUGGCAGGAGCUGGUGAUUAGAAGUCUCCAUUUAAAUUACACCACUGUCCACAGAUUCUCUGCAGA